GAUGAAGAACGCAGCGAAAUGCGAUACGUAAUGUGAAUUGCAAAUUCAGUGAAUCAUCGAGUCUUUGAACGCACAUUGCGCCCCCUGGUAUUCCGGGGGGCAUGCCUGUCCGAGCGUCAUUGCUGCCCUCAAGCACGGCUUGUGUGUUGGGCCCCGUCCUCCGAUUCCGGGGGACGGGCCCGAAAGGCAGCGGCGGCACCGCGUCCGGUCCUCGAGCGUAUGGGGCUUUGUCACCCGCUCUGUAGGCCCGGCCGGCGCUUGCCGAUCAACCCAAAUUUUUAUCCAGGUUGACCUCGGAUCAGGUAGGGAUACCCGCUGAACUUAAGCAUCUCAAUAAGCGGAGGA
RNAcentral lists this unclassified non-coding RNA (345 nucleotides) under soil metagenome. RNAcentral's name for it is "partial contains 5.8S ribosomal RNA, internal transcribed spacer 2, and large subunit ribosomal RNA". The stretch from base 1 to 119 matches the Rfam family "5.8S ribosomal RNA", at positions 35 to 154 of the family's 154-position model. The record is from RNAcentral.